UCGGAAGCGAUAACCGCUGAAAGCAUCUAAGCGGGAAGCGCGCCUCAAGAUGAGAUCUCCCGGGGCACAAGCCCCCUGAAGGAACCAUGUAGACUACGUGGUUGAUAGGUCAGGUGUGUAAGUACAGCAAUGUAUUGAGCUAACUGAUACUAAUGAUCCGUGCGGCUUGACCAUAUAACCUCA
This 183-nucleotide ribosomal RNA is filed under the name Stenotrophomonas maltophilia. RNAcentral's name for it is "partial 23S ribosomal RNA". It matches the Rfam family "Bacterial large subunit ribosomal RNA", at positions 2755 to 2925 of the family's 2925-position model. Lineage: Bacteria; Pseudomonadati; Pseudomonadota; Gammaproteobacteria; Lysobacterales; Lysobacteraceae. RNAcentral also lists the same sequence under 1 other name. The record is from RNAcentral.